Molecule: ribosomal RNA, 600 nt
Filed under: Escherichia coli
Lineage: Bacteria; Pseudomonadati; Pseudomonadota; Gammaproteobacteria; Enterobacterales; Enterobacteriaceae
Description: partial 23S ribosomal RNA
Rfam family: Bacterial large subunit ribosomal RNA
Source: RNAcentral
CAUAGGUUAAUGAGGCGAACCGGGGGAACUGAAACAUCUAAGUACCCCGAGGAAAAGAAAUCAACCGAGAUUCCCCCAGUAGCGGCGAGCGAACGGGGAGCAGCCCAGAGCCUGAAUCAGUGUGUGUGUUAGUGGAAGCGUCUGGAAAGGCGCGCGAUACAGGGUGACAGCCCCGUACACAAAAAUGCACAUACUGUGAGCUCGAUGAGUAGGGCGGGACACGUGGUAUCCUGUCUGAAUAUGGGGGGACCAUCCUCCAAGGCUAAAUACUCCUGACUGACCGAUAGUGAACCAGUACCGUGAGGGAAAGGCGAAAAGAACCCCGGCGAGGGGAGUGAAAAAGAACCUGAAACCGUGUACGUACAAGCAGUGGGAGCACGCUUAGGCGUGUGACUGCGUACCUUUUGUAUAAUGGGUCAGCGACUUAUAUUCUGUAGCAAGGUUAACCGAAUAGGGGAGCCGAAGGGAAACCGAGUCUUAACUGGGCGUUAAGUUGCAGGGUAUAGACCCGAAACCCGGUGAUCUAGCCAUGGGCAGGUUGAAGGUUGGGUAACACUAACUGGAGGACCGAACCGACUAAUGUUGAAAAAUUAGCGGAUG